This 542-nucleotide long non-coding RNA is filed under the name Penaeus chinensis. RNAcentral describes it as "uncharacterized LOC125027073, transcript variant X1". The record is from RNAcentral. Lineage: Eukaryota; Metazoa; Arthropoda; Malacostraca; Decapoda; Penaeidae.
CGAGGACACCCAUCAGCAUCAUAGCUUGGACGCCCAUUACAGCCCACCACGAGACGCUGGGCAAGCUGCCAAAAAAGAGACGCUGCUGUGCCAGUUUGUGAUAUGAUCCGCUAUUCGAAGCUACCCUGUCGUCGAUUUCCCAACUGGCUGGUUGCACGGGCUAACAGAACCAUCGCCAAUGCACUCGAUUUCGGCGUCAAACACGACGUCUACGGUUGCACGCACGGCUCUCCUCGCAGGUUAUUUGUCUUUUACUGUAGAAAUGGAGUCUCAGCUAUUACUAAAACGACGUAUGUGGGUUCGUGUGUGGUUGCAAAGAAGAAAUAGUAAGAGUGUGUAUCAUAAUCGGCAGCAAGAACUUCGUUUGGUGGAUAGGACUAGGCAAGCUCCUUUGAGAAACUUGGAAGACCCGCACAUGUAAACAAUGAUGACGUCACGAAUACUCCAGUGAGUUUCCCUUUCAAGAUAAGCAUACCUGCAAAGUAUAGGGAUAGAAAAUGCAAUACCUACUUAAAAAAAAAUAAUUAAAUGAUAUAUAUAUA